GGGGAAGGAUCUCUUCUGGAGAUCCCCUCUUUUGGUAUCUUCUAGUGAGCUCAACCCAAGGACAGAUGGAGGGUGAAGAGGCAGUUACCAGAACAGUUUUGGAAAUCAGCAAGUGCUUCCUCUCCUGGAAAAGAGGAUAUGAAGAAAGUGGUGGGUGUCUUGAGCCUUACUCUAAUUAUAUGCAUGGAAUGGGUGCAAAGACAUCUUUGAGAGUGUUCAGUGGAAGUGUUUCAUACAGAGUUUUUUUUCUGCUGAAUUUUAUGUCAAAUAAAAGUCUGUCCUUAAAGAGACUCCUGAGAAUUCCUUGCUGUGAUGGGGAACAGAUGAGUCCUCACAAGAGGCUUUUGUUCUGAAUGAGUACAUUGGAAUCUCAGGAAAAUGGGAGUCCAUUCAUUCUUUGAACAGAAAGUGCUGCUCAAGAGAUGUUUUAAUCUACUAUCAUCUUCUUAUCCUAACUGAAACAACAUCCAGACCAUCUAAGGUCAUGAACUAGAAUUUUAUAAGCGCAGAUACUUCCCUCUCCUCAUGUGGCUGAUGUUCUACCUCCAAGAGGAGAAAUCUGAAAGGGUAAAUAAGCAUCGUUGCCAAUGUGAUGGAGACACAUAGCUUGUGGCGCAAAGUAGAUGGGAAGAAGGUCAUAAAUCAGUUUGGAAAACCAAUACAAACAAGCAGCAUCAUCACAGUUGUAAAGAUAGAGCUUUAUAUAAUUAAGUACCUCCAGCUGCCUUCACUUCAGUGGUAAAUGUGUGUGAUAGUCAUGGUUUCUAUCUGGAAAGGAAUGUCCAUUUGUGCUGCCAUUUGGGUAUUUAUUUAGACUAAAAACAGUAUCUACUGUCUAGAAUUAAUCUAUUUUUAAAUAACUCCAAUCACUAGAAUUAUUUCUUUUUUGCUUCCUUGCCAUGCAGACCUCUGUAA
Long non-coding RNA from Lagopus muta (rock ptarmigan), 915 nucleotides. RefSeq lists it as uncharacterized. Lineage: Eukaryota; Metazoa; Chordata; Aves; Galliformes; Phasianidae. The record is from RefSeq and is a predicted model, not a curated record. The transcript has 3 exons.